RNAcentral lists this long non-coding RNA (905 nucleotides) under Fukomys damarensis (Damara mole-rat). RNAcentral's name for it is "lncRNA (ENSFDAG00000029072.1)". The record is from RNAcentral. Lineage: Eukaryota; Metazoa; Chordata; Mammalia; Rodentia; Bathyergidae.
GAACAGGCCCCAAAGCCCUGCUCGCGGACUUCCGGCAGGAACUCAGCAGGUUUUCAACAGGACCCCUAGAGUGACCUCACCCUGAGGCCGGAGACCCCAGCACCGUCUCUCAGGGCCAUGCGUAGAAGUUCCUGUGGACUCCCUGGAGAUUUGGACAGUUGGAAGGGAGAGGAGGGCCUUGUCCUCUUGGGAGCCCAGCCUGCUUUCUCCAGGGUGUUUUUCACCUGGCUUUUUUCUCUUUUCCUUGGCCCAAGCUCGCUCUGCAGAGCCAGUUCCGACCCCACUCUUCCCUUGCACUUUCUCGAAUAAACUUAGCCCCUGCUUUUGGCUUGUUUUGUUCAAGUCUUUGUUGGAGAUGAGAAGAACCUGGGAUCUAGCUCCGGAGGGAGAGGCGAGCGACCCAGAACCCGGCAGUGUUUUGUUGGUGAGCCCCUUUUAGAAGCAGGCUACGGGGUAACAGACUCUGCACAAAACUGCAGCAGAGCCACAAACAACGAAGAGUUGUUCGGUAGAGUGACAGAGGCAAGCGUUGCUAUUGGCAAUGGAGGGCGGCUGAAUUCAUCUGAAGGCGAAACUGCUUUGAUAAAUGGAAGGAUUAGGAACGUGGGGGGAGCGCACACUGAAGUUACUCCUGUCCAAAAGACGUGCUUGGAGAACGUGAGCCUCCAAAGAAGAAAGAAAAGGAGAGGGAGAAAAUGGCCGAACCGGAAGAAAUGGAGGACGUGGCAGGAAGUGAUGACAGCGUCUCAGCAAGCCAAGAUGGAAGAAGAGCAAUUGGAAGCCCAGUGCAGGGGCCCCUCAGAGUCAGGGGAUUCACGGCCCGGGGUACAGAAGAGCACACUUUAGUGAGAAGGAGGAGCCUAGUGAUCAGAGUUGUACAGUGUAGAUGCCAGGGAAAUAAAGAC